RNAcentral lists this ribosomal RNA (464 nucleotides) under uncultured bacterium. Its description in RNAcentral is "partial 16S ribosomal RNA". It matches the Rfam family "Bacterial small subunit ribosomal RNA", at positions 338 to 795 of the family's 1533-position model. The record is from RNAcentral.
CCUACGGGAGGCAGCAGUGGGGAAUCUUCCGCAAUGGGCGAAAGCCUGACGGAGCAACGCCGCGUGAUCGAAUGAAGGCCUUCGGGUUGUAAAGAUCUUUUGUCAAGGACGAAAAAGCGACGCGAGUACCUUUUUGUAUGACGGUACCUGUUUAGAAAGGUCCGGCUAACUACGUGCCAGCAGCCGCGGUAGUACGUAGGGAGCAAUCGUUGUCCGGAAUUACUGGGCGUAAAGGGCGCGUAGGUGGGCGCGUAAGUCAGGCGUGAAAACUCCGGGAUCAACCCGGAGAGUGCACUUGAAACUGGGUGUCUUGAGGGGAGGAGAGGAAAGUGGAAUUCCUAGUGUAGCGGUGAAAUGCGUAGAUAUUAGGAGGAACACCAGUGGCGAAGGCGACUUUCUGGACUGUACCUGACGCUGAGGCGCGAAAGCGUGGGUAGCGAACGGGAUUAGAUACCCGAGUAGUC